RNAcentral lists this long non-coding RNA (560 nucleotides) under Manacus vitellinus (golden-collared manakin). RNAcentral's name for it is "lncRNA (ENSMVIG00005014378.1)". Lineage: Eukaryota; Metazoa; Chordata; Aves; Passeriformes; Pipridae. The record is from RNAcentral.
GUAUGCAAUUACAGAAAGUUAUGUAGAAAUUAAGGCAAUAAAAACUUUAAUUACUGGAGAUUUUUUGUUUGGUUUUUUUCUAGGAACUCCUUCUCCAGAAAUAUGUUUUAUACAGAAAUUUGGUGGCCAGACAUACUGUCAAAAGGAAGACGAGAUAAAUCCAAUACUUCAAGAGGCAUACACAUCUGACCAGUCUCAGUCUCUGCUGCAGGGUUGGAUAAAGCAUUCAUCACCUACUGAAAAUAUUUCUAAGUCUGAUUUUUCACUAAAUGCUGCAGUAGAAGAACAGCAACUUAAUUCUGUAGAUAUCAAAUUGAAUGAAUUUCAAAAGGAUUCAGAAGAAAAUAUUUCACAAAAAUUAAGUAAUGAAGAUCUCUCUCCAGAAGUAAGCCUCUGUCUAGAUGGCCCUGUGGAAGACGUAACAGUUCUAAAUGAACAGACACCAGAAGAUACAUUUCAGCAUGUUUUAGAUGAUUGCCACAGAACCUGUGUGACCACUAUUGACAUUGAUAACAUAGUAGAGGAGCAUUCCCUUAAUAAUGAUACAAAUCUUUCUCUGA